This is an RNA transcript of Bacillus rossius redtenbacheri, 3346 nucleotides long. RefSeq lists it as uncharacterized. The transcript is spliced from 2 exons. NCBI's taxonomy places the organism in Eukaryota, Metazoa, Arthropoda, Insecta, Phasmatodea, Bacillidae. The record is from RefSeq and is a predicted model, not a curated record.
CACUCUAGUACCGUAACAACCGAGAUGUCUAUUUACCGUGACGGUGAUGUAUUUAUUUAUGACAUAUUAAAAUUAAAGAACAUUAUUGAAAACAGGAUGUUAAAUUUUUAUAUGUACGUUUGGCACAUGUUGCGAAGAAAUAAUGCGAUCUGAAAUAAUGCAGUACUACUACGAAAACUGAAAAAGGACUAUUGUGAAGAGUUUCAGACAGAUGAAGGUCCCCAUGGCAAUAACAUUCUUCUUGGAUCGUGAAGAUCUGCUAAUCUUGCAAGGAAGGCUAUUUUAGGAGUCCUAAUCGUUCGUACGGGUGUGCGAAAGACAGACAGGUGACAGAGAGAGGAGAUAAACCCGAGCGUUUUCGUUGUCCCCUCCCUUGAACACCAUACCGGCAACCGGCAAUUCCAGGGUAGAUCUCAGUGUGUUGCAGAAUGUCUAUCCCUCCAGGCAUGUGCUUCGUGUGUCGUGAUGACCUCGACACAGGUCCUGUUGUGAUCAUCAAAGAACGAGGGAUUCGAACACUAAUUGAAGUGAGUCAAAAACGUAGUCUCACAGAAAAUAAAAAUUUCCUCCAAAUUUGCAACCAAGUCAGUGUUCAUGAUGCAUGCAGGAAGAGAUAUACAGCUGUGUGUAACGUUGAAGCCUCUAUUCAUCGAGUAGGGGAUUCUGCUUCGCAACCAAAGACUUCAUAGACUAGAUUAUCAAGUAAACUGGCUGCUACCUAGAGAGGGAUUUGCUUUUUGUGUGGUGAUGCUAUCACUGAAGAAUUUCUCCAGCAACAAAGCAAACUGCCCUUGACAAGAAGGAAUGUGGUCCAUACAGUUGAGAAGCUGGGCAUGAGGCAAACUGUUCUAGAUGCAGCUAAACGCCGAGGUGACGAUUGGGGAAGGGCCAUUGAGGAGCGCCACCUCGCCAUUGACGACCUGGUUGCUGCAGACGGGACGUACACAGAUUGUGCUACAGGAGCCUGUUUAGAUUACCACCUGCUACUGGGAAUAAGAGAGGGUAUCGUCCAGCCAGUAACACUGAAGAAGCUAUGGAGUGUGUGUACGAUUACCUAUUGGAAAACAGUGAUGAAUGCCAGUUUUCUUUAUCACACCUUCUGCAGCAAAUUAAAGGUGAUUGUAUAUCUGAUGUCAGAACAGCGAAAACUCACCUCCAAAAACGUUUUUGCGAUGACAUAGUCAUAGUGGAGAUGGGCUCCAACAAAGGGACAUUCGUCUGCUUCAAAAACACCGGCCAUAAAAUUUUGUAUGAUCAUUGGUACAUAGAACAAAAAGGCAAUGUGCAGCAAGAGCAGUUGAGAGUUAUGAAGUCAGCCACAGAAACCAUUGUGGAAGAUAUCCGCACACAAGUGUAUGUCACCAGUCAGUAUCCCCCCCUCAGACCAUUUCUUCAACAAUGUUGAUUGUCAUCCCUGAGACUGUUGUUCUCAAAAACAAGAGUGGCCUCCUUGAAGCAUGGAAGAAGUGUGUGUCAUUUUGUCAUGCUCUGAUAGUUGCUAUAUGACCUCAAUCUUUUGUUUUCUCCCUUCUGAUUGGAAUUGGUACCUACUUUUACCGAAAAUAUGGAUCCAAACAUCUGGUAAAUAUGUGUGCGGCGCUAGGGUUCUCCUGUUCUUAUUCAGUAACUGUGCAGCUUGAAACUUCGGCCAUCUUACGAGAUCAAUCCUCACCACCAAUAGGAAAAAGAGCUUUUAUCCAAUUCGUCUAUGACAAUGCGGACGUGAAUGUUAACACGCUGGAUGGUGCCAACACAUUUCAUGAGAUGGGAGGCAUUAUGUGUGUAACCCCCGAGAGCAGUAAUGCGAGACAAAAACAUCCCACAUAUACAGAACUAUGUUUCUGCUCAAAAUGUGACCUCCAGCAGUGAGGUUUCAGUUUUCACGGUCAAAAAUCAUUUUCCUUCAAUUUAUCCAUGCCCCUCCCACUGACUAUAAGACUGUAUUCAUUUCACUCAUGGAAGCCAGUAACCUGGAGAAAAGCUCAUGGCCAGAAAAUCACGUUCGUCACUUUCGACCAGCCAUUAUACAUAAAAGCAAGAGAUAUUGUCCAGAGUGGACUUCACCCGGAGUUGAACAGUGUAGUUGUACGGCUUUGUGGAUUUCACCUCUUACUGUCCUUUAUGGGAUGCAUUGGCACAAUAAUGGGUGGGAGUGGUCUGAAAGAUCUACUAACCACCAUCUACACAGGCCACAGUGUUGACAAAAUUUUGAAUAUGCACGCAUAUUCACGAGCUGUUCGAACCCACAUUUUGACAAACCUCACACUGGCUGGCAUUGUUUUUUAUGAGGCUGACAUGACUCCUGAGGAGUGAAACGAGAAUGAAAAAUUGCUGAGAGACACUGAGAGGUCUCUCACUAUGUCAGCAGAAGAAAUUGAUACCUACCAAAUGCUAAAGGCAAAAUUUAAAAGUGCCUUGGAGAAAAUGGAAGCAUAUGGUCCAACAUCAGAGUUGUGGGUCCAAUACUUUCGUAUGACCACUUUGAUCAAACUAUUCAUACAGGCAGAGCGUGCUGCUGAUUGGAACCUUCAUUUGUACACUGUCUACAAGAUACUCCCUUUUUUCCAUGCAGCUGGACAUGUUUUGUACGCUAAGAGCGUGCACCUCUACCUUCAGGAUAUGAUGGCUCUACAAGAUCGGAUGGCUAAAAGUGAAUACCAAAUGUUCACAAAAGGAUCCUUCACCAUUCACCGGUCUGACAAGUUUUAGUCUGGGUUGUGGUCAGACCUAACAAUUGACCAGAAACUGAUGCGAUCCAUUAAGACCUAUGUAGGUUGACCCAAGGAAGGGGAAUCUCUGACAGUGUGCUGGCAAGGUGGACUGCAUAGGCCAGUCAACAAGAGGGAAAGUAAACACUUUUUACCAGCAGACCUGAAAACUUGAUAUAAGGGUAAUUCGAGGACGCUGAAUCGAUUGGUGCAAAUAUUUUUGCAAUCGGACGUGAAGUUUUUGGAGAAAAAGGUUAAAAAUUGUUUUGAAUCAGUUUUUCUCAGAAUUUAGGAGUUUAAUCAAAAAACGUUUUAAACAAAAGUUGCUGAGAAUUAAAAAAUACAUUAAAAAGGUUCUCAGGUCUAUCUUCGCAUUUUCAAUCAUGAGCAAGAAAUAUUGGAAAGAAAGUAGUCAGCGUAAUUGUACGUAAAAGUAGGGCUAGUGUGCGUGCGAGUGUACGUGUGAACUAAACAAACAAAGGGCCUUCGGCUAUUCUUGGGCCUCUCCGUCAUGACUAGGGAGUGCGAGUGAGAGAAGAAACCGUUUGUUCUCUUUUUCUAUUGUCUCACGCGUUAGCGAGUAUUUUUCCUCUUUGGCCGUUCAUUAUCGAGCAUUAUAUUUUAAAUCGAAUCGUGAU